RNAcentral lists this transfer RNA (77 nucleotides) under Polynucleobacter asymbioticus. RNAcentral's name for it is "tRNA-Pro". It matches the Rfam family "tRNA". Rfam says of the family: Transfer RNA (tRNA) molecules are approximately 80 nucleotides in length. Lineage: Bacteria; Pseudomonadati; Pseudomonadota; Betaproteobacteria; Burkholderiales; Burkholderiaceae. The record is from RNAcentral. RNAcentral also lists the same sequence under 15 other names.
CGGAAUGUAGCGCAGCCUGGUAGCGCACCUCGUUCGGGACGAGGGGGUCGGAGGUUCGAAUCCUCUCAUUCCGACCA